AAUCAACCGAGAUUCCCCCAGUAGCGGCGAGCGAACGGGGAGCAGCCCAGAGUCUGAAUCAGCUUGUGUGUUAGUGGAAGCGUCUGGAAAGUCGCACGGUACAGGGUGAAAGUCCCGUACACGAAAACACACAGGCUGUGAACUCGAAGAGUAGGGCGGGACACGUGGUAUCCUGUCUGAAUAUGGGGGGACCAUCCUCCAAGGCUAAAUACUCCUGACUGACCGAUAGUGAACCAGUACCGUGAGGGAAAGG
This 253-nucleotide ribosomal RNA is filed under the name Enterobacter cloacae. RNAcentral describes it as "partial 23S ribosomal RNA". It matches the Rfam family "Bacterial large subunit ribosomal RNA", at positions 223 to 514 of the family's 2925-position model. The record is from RNAcentral. Lineage: Bacteria; Pseudomonadati; Pseudomonadota; Gammaproteobacteria; Enterobacterales; Enterobacteriaceae. RNAcentral also lists the same sequence under 1 other name.